RNAcentral lists this ribosomal RNA (628 nucleotides) under uncultured methanogenic archaeon. Its description in RNAcentral is "bacterial SSU rRNA". It matches the Rfam family "Archaeal small subunit ribosomal RNA", at positions 156 to 785 of the family's 1478-position model. The record is from RNAcentral. Lineage: Archaea; Methanobacteriati; Methanobacteriota.
AUAGGCAAUUAUUCCUGUAAUGGUUUUUUGUUUAAUGUUUUUUCGCCUAAGGAUGGGUCUGCGGCCGAUUAGGUAGUUGGUUAGGUAAUGGCUUACCAAGCCUUUGAUCGGUACGGGUUGUGAGAGCAAGAGCCCGGAGAUGGAACCUGAGACAAGGUUCCAGGCCCUACGGGGUGCAGCAGGCGCGAAACCUCCGCAAUGUGAGAAAUCGCGACGGGGGGAUCCCAAGUGCCAUUCUUAACGGGAUGGCUUUUCAUUAGUGUAAAGAGCUUUUGGAAUAAGAGCUGGGCAAGACCGGUGCCAGCCGCCGCGGUAACACCGGCAGCUCUAGUGGUAGCAGUUUUUAUUGGGCCUAAAGCGUCCGUAGCCGGUUUAAUAAGUCUCUGGUGAAAUCCUGCAGCUUAACUGUGGGAAUUGCUGGAGAUACUAUUAGACUUGAGAUCGGGAGAGGUUAGAGGUACUCCCAGGGUAGAGGUGAAAUUCUGUAAUCCUGGGAGGACCGCCUGUUGCGAAGGCGUCUGACUGGAACGAUUCUGACGGUGAGGGACGAAAGCUAGGGGCGCGAACCGGAUUAGAUACCCGGGUAGUCCUAGCUGUAAACGAUGCGGACUUGGUGUUGGGUGGCUUU